UAAGAUUGUGUUUUUUUUUUUUAUAUGAAGCUUUAUAUGAAGCAGCACCAAAACACAUAGCAAGCAAUAAAUUUUGAUUUUGAAGCUGGGAGAUUCAAAAUCAGAAAUAGUUUCUACUGAUUUAUAGAGCACAUGGGAUGUUAACAUUUCAAUAGAAAAUACAAAGAGAUGGCAACAAACGUUAGAUGAUCCCUGGCCUAAUAUCUCUGUUCAAACUGGUUUAAAUUGGCUAAAACUCAAAAGGAAUUUUUUAAAAUAGGAAUUUCAUAACUCAAGAAUGCAAAAGCACGAGUAAAUAAAAAUUAUUAAAAAAAAUAGAAAGGGCUGGAAGCAAUUUCAGAACUUUUUCCCAGAAUCCCUUUAUUGCUCAAGCUGCUUAUAAACUAACAACUAUUUUACUCUCUACAUCAGAGAAACAAUUUGAAAGUCUUUUGUCAUUUUUGGACAUUUAAUACACUUAAGUCAGUUCAUAUUCAUUUUUAUCUGGAGGUCCAUUGCGUUAUCUGUUACUGUUAUCCAAUCCAACAGCCGCACAUAAUUUGCUUGGGGCUUAUCUGGCAGCUUACAGGCAUAGAAUUUAAACUUACAUAUUCUUCAGUGGUGUUGGAAAAUAGUUAAUACAGAAGUAACCCCGUAAGUACACAACAAAUACUGUUUUGUCUAAGCUGUGAAGUUCAUUUACACCUAUUCCAUCCAAUGUGUGGGAUUGUAAUCACAACCACUACUUUUAGCUUGUUGGGUAGUGAAAUACCAUCAAAUAAUAGCUGCAAUACUGUAAUGCUAUAACGUAAGGAAAAGUACAGUGAUAGUAGAAGAGGAGCACAAUCCUAGGCGACAACAAACGAGAACAAGCCCAAAUACAACAACCAUAGACACAGAAACAAAUGAAGAAAAACUGCUUACCUUCAAAAAGUCUCCAGAGAGACACUCUUCACCUUCACUGCCAACACUUAAAUGAGGUUUGGAAAGAGGUGGAUCCUGGCUCCACACCCUUCCAGUCACUCAGGUGCACUGCAUACACCUGAGCUCCCCUGGGUUGGUCCUGCCUUCCUACCAGGUUCUCCAUCACUGAUUCAGGCCAUGACUUAGCAUUUCCACUACAAAUACUUACCCAGUUAACAGCUUAAUGGAAGAACACAGAGAUUUGAGGGAACAGUCUCUAAGCAGCCAGAAUGUAGUAUUGACCGGUCAAAAACCUGGUGUUCUAGUCUUACUCAUGGAGGAGAAUAGUGUGUUGAAUUGCACUGAGCACUGUAAUGGCUUUGAGUUCUACUGCGUCUUCUGUUAAAUGCUAAAAUUGUCACUUGUGCUUUCAUGCUGAAAGCACUAUUUUACUGUGAUAGUGAUUGAAGAGAUAUUUAUGUUUUGCAGGGCAGACAAGUAAAAUACAUUUUAUCACAGAAGCAAUGCAUGCUUGAAAAUGAAGGUGUUCUAUGCCGGUAUUCUUUAUGGAAGUGUAGCUGGAAAAAGGAUUUGCCUGACAGUUGUAAAUCCUUAAACCGUAAAGUUACAAACAUGACUUCAGUUACAUCAAAAUGAGGAAAACUAAGUACAAUUCUAAGUAAUGCUCUACUGUUAGCUGCUGUGGUGCCUGAAGGAAUUUACUGUGUCCAUGUUAAGACUGGAAUGGUGAAUGGGGAGCUGGCUGGCAAAUAGGUAUCGAAGUCUGAAGUCCUUCUGUCUGCAAUCUGUGCUGUACAGGGAAAGCAGAAUAAAGCUCUUCGACAGCCUUGAAAGCUUUACUUGAAGAGCACUGUGGCAAAAGUGGUUAGAAGCAAGAACUUCACAAUGUGGUCAAUACUUUUCCCACAUAGAUGUGCUACAAAUUUAUUUUACAUCUAUAACUAAGUGACCAAUGGCAGAAGUUCAUGCAAAUUCAAAUCAAACAACUGCAAAACAUGUAGAAUGUAAGAUGCUUCUGGUUAGCACUGUCUGACAGUACUUUUAGCCAUAAAGAUUGACUAUCAUUUGAUUUUUGAGAGUUGAGACUGAGAAGGCAAAGAGGAAGACUGGCCCAUGACUUCUAAUUAACAAUGGUGAAGUUCUGUCCUGUUCAAAUCAAGAGAUUCAGAAGUUAAUUCAACAGAAAUAAAUUAUGUUUCCAAAUGCUAUUAAAUAACUAAGUAUGGCAAAAUACUAAUAAAGCAUACUUUCAAAAAAAAGACAUAUGUCUGAAAUGAAAUGCUGUAAAAGACUUUUGUUUUGUAAAACACUCUUCUUAUAAAAGGAAUAUGGCUUAUAAACACAAACACAUACAUACAAACACAUCUGCACAUGCAUACUUCCCAAACCGUAAGAUGUCUGUUUGAAAGAUGACAUUUCUUUCAGUGACUUAAAGUUUCUUCAAGGCAGAAAACUAUGGAAGAUACAGCAUAGCUGAACAUCUGUCUUGUCAUGUAGGCAGAUAUUAGGAUUAAAUUAACUAGAAAUGAAUAGAAUGAUAUAUGACAGGGUGCAGAUGUCCCAGCCACAGUGUGAUAAUUUCAUUGCAAAACUAUGUAAUGAAUUCCAUACAUUACAGAAAUACAAAUAUACUACUUUAGGUAAUUGUGAUGAAAAGGUAUAAUAUGGAAUGGAUAAACAGAUGGUGUACCCAAAGGCAUUUUUCGUUUGCUAUUGCUCUUUAGUCAUUUUAAAAUGACUUUAUUUGGUUUACUGUAAGUCUAUUAUUACAUUCUUUCUUUUUAAUUUUUUUUCUCGUAGCUCUUCUGAAUCUGGAUUGCAUGAGGAGCAUAAAGGACCAUUCUGCACGUCUGCUUUCCAGAUAGAUUGAAAGUCAAAUACAGAUGUUGGACAGUUUUUCACUGAAAAUGAUGCAAUCGGCUGUUGACUUGCUGAGAAAUGAUGUAUCUCUAUGAAAAGGACAAAAAUGGAAGAUGCCCAGGGAGUAACAAUUCCACUAUCAGAGAUGUCCCUUUCAUAUUACACUAACACUCUUAAAAGACAUCUUGCUCUUCUUGGAUUGCUGCAAAACCAGGAACUGAUACAGUCUGAAUAACACAUCAGACAGUCCCAUCAACACAUGUAUAUCCCAGCCAAAAUGAAUGAAGGAAAUGACCCACCUGGUAUUUACUCAUAUUUCUAUCAUUUCAUGAGCAUGAACUAACUGUAUAUCAUCACUUUGACUCUUGAAAGAUAAGGAGACAUCAGCAACCCAGAUAGAUAUAAUUAGAUGACAAAUUGAAAGUGGACAAUAAGAGAAAAUAGUGAUCUUAGCCAAAAGGAACACAGCUUUUCUGCUAUGAAUAUACUGAUAAAGAAGAACAAGCAAAUACAAACAAUGGUAUCCAGAAGCAAGUUCAAUAACAGUGUUGCCUUUAAGACAAUGAAUCAGGAAAACAAAACAGUGUAAAACAAAAACAAAAACAACGUAAGAAUGGAGCAUGGUCUUUGGAGAGCCAUGGAGGAUUCUGAAGGCAGAGAUCAUCUAUUCACUCUUCAGUGAUGCUGUAAAUUGUAAAUAUGACAGCAUGGGACUGAGUUACCUGUUUCCUUCAAGCUUGAUUUUUUUUUUAACUUAACAGAAAUUCUACAGAGAAAAGAAUGCAGGAAUCACGUCUUAUUAAGAGCUUCUGAGUGUCCAACUCAAAUUGUGUUUCCCAGUUCCAAUUUGUAGUCUAUUUUUUGAUCCUGUAGACUUAUUCCUGAGCAGCAGUAGCUGUGGAACAAAGCGUUGAACAUCUUCCUGAGCUUGGACCAUACUGGUGAGUUCUCAGGGUUCAGAAAAUCAUCGCAGAAUCUGAAGGAAAUAUCUAGCUCUGAACUGGGACUGGGAUUGAAGAUGCAGCAGCACUCUAGGUUGCCAUAUGGACACAUGAGAAAAAGCAAGGCUGUUCCAGCAACCUGUCUCCAAGCCACUUUCUCAAGCCUACCUAUGCCAACCCUGAAAAUGAAUGGCUCCUGAGAGGACUCCAUCUAAACCAUCCUGCAGUUCUGCUUGCUUCCAGCCAAUAGCCUUCCAUUUCUGUUGCACCAAUUGAAUGGGAGUGAGACAAUGAGACUGCCAGCCACACUGUGAUUGAGGAUUUUGAAAUAAAUUCAGUGAAACUAGUGGAGAAAGUGCCAUCAAAAUUUGGAACUUCAUCUGAAUUAUACUGGCUGCAUGCCCAUCAGUUUUCUUGUACUACAGGGAAGCUGACAGGCACUUUGGACAACUUAUCACAACACUAUGUGCCAUAAAUGUGAUGCAGCAUUUCAUAAAUUUGAUAAAGUACUUCCAAAACAACUGUUGACUUUUAAAGGAAUCCAACUUCCCUGAAAGUAGGAUAUUUAUCGUAAGUGUAGAUUGAUGAGAUUCUCAGCUAAUUUGUUAUCUGUGCUUCUUUUGCAUGUUUGUGAAUCCAUAAGAAUUUUGUAAUUGUAAGUCUUUAUGAGAUUGUGUUUUAAAUCAAAGUUGACAGCACAAUAGAACCCAAUAAAAGAAAGCAUCAGUUGUACAAGGUCUGCUCAUACACCAAGAUGUGAAUGCCAAUAAUAUGGAAGAAUUGACAAAGAAACUGAAAUGUAAAAACUGCAUGUUUGUUUCUAUACUACAUCCUCUCCAUAUCACUGUCUCAGGAAUCAAACAUAAAAAUGCUACAAUAAGAGUUACAAUAAGAGUGGCUCUAAUAAAAAUGGAAACUUUUAAGAGUUAAAGCAGCUUUUCAUCAGAAUGCUACAGUAAAUAAUCUUUUAAUAAUCUUCAGCUAUCAUCACAGGAAGAACUUAAGAAUGGCAAUUUGUACUUCCUGAAGCAGUCUUGAAGGCUGAUUUACAAAUCUUUUCUAACUGUGCUUGCUUAAGAAGUUAUUCCCCUCUCCACUUCAUGCUUCUUUGUCACAUUAUUAUUUGAGCUACCGUUCAGCAUGGACAGAUUAAACUUACCUACGUUUAUAAAUUUUUUUCUUCAUUCAGUGAUUAAAUAUCAGAAUAAAUAGGGAAAGAGAUGCAUGCCUUGAGGCACAGAUAAUGAUGCCAAGACUUUACUAUCAACAACAGCCAAGUGCUCUGCAAGCUGUUUGCUCUGAAAAUCCAGGCAGUUCCUCCAACAGCACUGACAGUCCGGUUAAGAAUUUUUCAGUAAGUCCUGGAAUAAAAUGAUGGUGAAAGCCCAUUUAUCACUAAAAGAACGGUGACAUCUGGAGUGAAAUGUGAGUCAAGAAGAGACAAAAAGGAGUAAUGAAUACGCUUAUACACAAAAGCCAAGUAAUAUGGAAUAAACCAAAGUCUUACAGUAUAAUGAAGUUGACACUUAACAGGUGAGUCAGAGACUUUGGUGAAUACAAAAAAAGGGUGACAAUACUGAUCUAGAAUAGUACAGUUACAGACAGGAGAAGCAAGGAAAAAAGAAGGCAUUUCAAUUUAUGGCAAAAAUUACAUUUUUCCUUUAGUUCUGGAGUUAAAAAGGAACAAAUAUAUAUAUCUCCAUAUAAAGAUAAAACAGGAUAAGAGCAGGCAAAAUUUCAUGAUGAGCUUGGACUAUCUACUCUGAAGAAGAUGAUUAAUACCACUUAUUUGAACAGAGAUAGCCAUGAUAAAAGAAAUGACAAGAAGGAACUGAGAUCUGCUUUAAUUGUCCAAAUAUCUGUGGCAAAAUAGGAGGGCACAAGCAAGUCAUUUUGAUAUAUGCUAUAUACAAGUUUCAGAAGAUGUAGAAAGGUUCCAGAGAAACAACAAUUUAUACUAGAAUCUAACCACUGAGGUAAAAAAUCUUAAAGUGGAUGUGAUGGUAAACCUAAAGAGUUCAAGAAAAAAGAUGAUGAGAAUAAAAGAUCUGGUUUAUGAAAACACACAGAAACAACAAAAACAAAAAAAGUAGACAGUUCAGGAAUCUGCUAAUAGACUCUUGUGAAGAAAUUUUAUGGAAAUAUUUUAGAGAAAGUAGCACUUGUGACAUUAAAUAUUAAAGACCGAGUAGUUACCUGGCUCAGUGGAGAAGAAAAAGAAAUGUAACGAAGCAAUGUGGAAGACAAAAGAACUCUUUAGCGUAAUUUCAGAUAAAAGCUGCAAAAUGAAUUAUUGGUAUCAAAACAAGACAAUUUUCUACCUAUUAUGAUUCAAUCUGUGACAUACAGAUUAGUUGCAAAACUAAGACUUUUCAUUUUAGUAAAGGCAAAUAUGUAGUGUCUGUAAUAGGAAAAGUAUAAGUUGAGGUAUUUAGAUGAAUUGGGUGCACUUCAGACUGCAAGGUUUGCUAGAAAAUUCACCUUAAUGUACUUUUAGAGCAAGUUAAGGUGAUCUCUGAACUAGAAGUGGUCAUUUUCAAUAUGUGAAGGCCCGGGGAAGUCCCACAGGACUGGAGAAAGAAAGCACAAUAACUGUCCUUAAAAGAGGACGAAAAGGGUCUUCAAGUAGACUGAGUUUUAGAAGGGCACCUUACUCAAAAUUUCAGGAAAGCAGAAUAUGUCCCAAACUACACAGAAAUCAUUAUUCAUUUGUGUCUUAAAAUUGCUGGACACAUGGCAGUUUUCUCUCAGCACGUUCACAGAUGUAAUUGCCUGGAUUGGUGCAUUACUAAUUACAAGAAUUGUGACCAGGAGAAUAUAAGAAACUUGAGAAGUAUUUCCUGUUGAAGACACGACUAAGAACUCAGCUUGAUGAGCAGUUCUAGGAGUCUGGGAUUACAAGAAGGGAGAAUGCAUGUCCCUCUAUCAGGAAAUCUGAGUCAAACUGGCACAACAUAAUUAACUUUAUGCCUCAGAUUGUUUUUAUUUUUACAUAUUUAUUUUUCCCUGCCACAAGAUACAGAUGAGUAUAUUUAGUUAGAAAAACAUGUUUAAUUGUACUUUGCAUAAAUUCUCAUUUAGAAAGAAAAUGUUUUUCAAAUAAAGUUCUUUAAAUGUUUUGUGAGACAUCUGGACUUUUUUUUAUAAAAAGGAUCUGAAGGGAAUUUAGAAUCCCAGACUUCUUGUGGUUCUCACAUCAUCAUAAAAAGGCAGCAUAUUAGAAUGUGUUUGCUGCUGGGAACUGACACUUCACAAUUAUUAAGGAAGUAAAACUUCUCCUACUAGGUUUGAUUCUGUAGUGCCUAGGAUUUUUGCCUACGGUCCUGUGAAUGUGAAUUUUAUGCAAGGUGAAGAGGUGCUUUUAGGGCUUGUUUCCUCCUCUAAUUCCCCAGUAUAGGGAUUGAUCACAUCCAUUCAAGUUUGGCCUGUGUCAGGCUGUACAUUCACACUGGGCAAUGUGACAGGCAGGUGUCAGAGCUACCUUUCCACUGCUUCCUGCAAUCACCAUUAAGACAGAUGCAGCAAUAGAGAGAAGAUCAAACGGCAUAUUUUUCGUAAAGCAGACUAAAUGCUCCAGAAUCUUAAGAAGAAUAAUCAAUACAGCAUGAUUGAGUAUCCUAAUUUUAUCUCAGAAUGUAUUUGUUUCUUCCCCGGAAGAUCUGAUUUAUAGAGUCAUGUGAUGUGAUAUAUAGACAUAUAUUUUUAAAUAAAGUAUGUUUUAAACUCAUUGAGUUCCAAAGAGAACCAGGAAAUUGUAAACUUGCAAGAGUGAAAAACAUACGAUAAGAACCAACAGGCUUUUCAAAAAUUAUUUUCACCCAAUAUUUUGGAGUUAAUCUUGUAAUUUUUAUUGGGCUAAUCAACUAAAAAUAUUCCCUAACUAAAAUAUUCAACUAAAAUAUUCUCUUGGGCAUUCAUUGGAAUGAUGUUUUCUCAUUCUCCAUGGUUAAAAAUUCACAGCUGUUAUGAAAAAUAGAAAGAAUUCUAGUCAAGGGCUAUAGAAAAAUAAGCAGUCCCAAGAAUUUUCAGUUAACUCAACAAAUUGAGGUGCCCACCUCCCAUGGCAGUCAGAUGUUUAACUCAUAUAAGCUUUUUCACAAAUCUCACCUGAAAUCUCUGUUAUUUUCAGGUAAGUGUCUUGUCUGUUGAACUAAAGGACCAGAAUUGACUCUUGCACAGUAGGUUUCUUAUAAUUACUCACAAUGGGAGACUCCACUCACAACCAACUCUGGGAGGCAUUUCUGAGUCUCUGAUUUCUAACAUUCUUCACUUCUUCACCCCAUGGUAUGAACAGACUGCUUUAUAUUACUGACAAUUUAUGUUUUCCCUCUAACACCCACCUAUGUAACAUCUAUGUUGAGCAUUUACAUUUACACUAAUAGCCCCUGAGAAUCAAUUACCAUAAGAAGAUCUGUUCCUUUACACUUCAACCAAUGAAUCAGUCCUAGGUUAAAACAAGAGAAGGUAAAAAGCCAGCAUGCCUGUACUGAUUUUUUAAAAAUACUUUACUAAAAAAUUCUCUGGAUACAUAUAUAUGUAUUUUUUUUUUUCUGUUGUGUGUACGUUCAGUAUGACUUUACCUGCUUUCAAAUACGCUUUCAUAAAUGGAUUGAGCAAAGAAGCACUCAGGAUUAACUGCACGUUUUAUACACUCUGGCACUGUUUCGUAUCCUCAUGCACUAGAAUGCAGUCUGUUUGAUUGGCACACCCUUGUGGAAGCAGCUGUGAUAGCAAGCCAAUGCCCUGCUGAAACUGAAGGGAGGCCAGAGUUGUCUUUGGAAAGAUGGUGCUCUGGAGAUACAGAAAUAAUCUUCGGACAUCCUCAAACCAGUGAUUACUGCCAAGCCUCAGGAAGAGUUCUGCCAUAGGCUUUGUCCCCCCUCCCAGGCAGCGAUUUUGGGGUCCUGGUGAAUAUCUCCUGCUCUUUCUAAAAACCUUUCAGUGAUAUAGUCCUGCAAAAUCCUUUCUACUCCUUUCCAAAGCUUCUGAGAAACUAUGGAUCUGCCACCUCUGCAGAACCCUAAGUCCUUCCCAGUUUGUCACGAUUCAAGGAGAAAUGGGAAAGUAGUGUCUUAAAUACUCUUACUCGAAUUUCUAGAAUACAUCUCAGAUUUUUUUUUAACAAACAACUUCUUUUUUUGAAACCUUUUCACACUGUUUAGAAAUGCCUUCUCUUUGUCACCAAUGAUCAAACUGACAGAAAUAUUGCUUAUUUUAAAAGGUAUUUAUUUUCCAUUCAGUCCUCUGCAUUUCUAUCCAUUCCUAGCAUUCUCUAUGCUUAGGCCGUAAUGGUCUCGGAGUUCUAAUACCAUAGGCCAUCUGCAAAGCAGUCUGAAGGCAGAAAGCUCAGAGAGAACCUCUCGGCAAUGGGUGGAUCUCCAGUGGCCUUUUCUCCACUAUAUGGUUUCCUACAACAAAAGCAAGGCUGAGCCCCAUUUUUUUUUCCCUUAAGUGGUACCUUUCCAUAAGAAAAAUUACUGUGAACUGUUACCACGCCCUUCUGGAAGCAAAAUGCUCUCCUCAAAAAGUAAUGCGAAGAGCCUGGAUAUUCAUCAACAGUAUGACUCUUUUGAACACUGCCUUUCUAACCUGUGAUUAUCUCACUUAUGUACAAUGGUAAAAGAGCCACUGAAUGAGCAAGAUAGAUAUCAAGAAAUAUCAGCAAAAUGCUUCCUGAGUACAGGCAAAAUUAACAAGAAGUCAUGUGAAAAAGCAAUUUAAAUGCCAAUCUCAACACUCUUUAGCUCUUCCUAAAUCUGAAGUUCACAGUGGGGAAUUUAUAAAACUAUCGAUUAUCAAAGGAAUUCCUUUUUCCUUUCUUUCUUUCUUUCUUUC
Long non-coding RNA from Meleagris gallopavo (turkey), 9539 nucleotides. RefSeq lists it as uncharacterized. Lineage: Eukaryota; Metazoa; Chordata; Aves; Galliformes; Phasianidae. The record is from RefSeq and is a predicted model, not a curated record.